RNAcentral lists this ribosomal RNA (30 nucleotides) under Ulva prolifera. RNAcentral describes it as "partial 28S ribosomal RNA". The record is from RNAcentral. Lineage: Eukaryota; Viridiplantae; Chlorophyta; Ulvophyceae; Ulvales; Ulvaceae.
GGCUACCCGCUGAACUUAAGCAUAUCAUAG